AAACCGAUAGCGAACAAGUACCGUGAGGGAAAGUUGAAAAGUACUCUGAAUAGAGAGUUAAAUAGUACGUGAAACCGCUUAGGGGUUAAGCCCGAUGAACCCGAAUAUCUGAUGUGAGAAAUUCAAUACUGUUCAAUGGGAUUUUUUUUCUAUUGGAUUGUAUGCACUUUUCUCAUAGUAAGACAUUGUAAUCCAUUGAUAUUAUAUCUUUAUUUGUUUAAAGAUGAUUUAACAUACGGACAAAAUGUUUAUGAUUAUUCUAUCAAUGAUAUGUUUUACAUGUCAUAUGAAUAAAAUCGUUUUGUACCUGUUUAAAUAGUCGAUGGAUUUUUCAAUUAAAAUCAUGCUUGCAAUUUAUUUUGCGUUUCGUAUCGUUAAUUUUUAAUUAAUGGUAGCAGAAAUGGCAUGUAUUUGAUUAACAAUGCGAUAGAUUUGGGAUACUUUCAGGACCCGUCUUGA
RNAcentral lists this ribosomal RNA (459 nucleotides) under Lasioptera sp. Lassp136. RNAcentral's name for it is "partial large subunit ribosomal RNA". It matches the Rfam family "Eukaryotic large subunit ribosomal RNA", at positions 331 to 657 of the family's 3401-position model. Lineage: Eukaryota; Metazoa; Arthropoda; Insecta; Diptera; Cecidomyiidae. The record is from RNAcentral.